CGGCGGAGAGCGUUGCGGCCGUUGCGAACGAUGAGGGAGCGUACUGCGCUCUCCGGCGCCUCCCCCGCUCCUUUCCUCCCUCGGGGGGCAGCGGCCGCCGGGAGCCUUACCUGCGGCGGACAUGGCGGAGGGGGCGGUGGAACGCGAGGACCCGAUCGGCCCGGGGGUGCGGCGGAGCGGGCCGGGUCUCCGGCACAGGCAGGUGCGGCCGCAAUACGGCGUUGGAAACGGAAGCGGCUUCUCCGACGUGAGCGCCGAACUGUUUGGGAGCAGUGCGGCUGCGCGCUGGGGACGGGGGCGCCCGCCCGGCAAACGGGAGUCGGGCGGGCGGGGCCGAAGGCGGGGCUGCCGCUCUUUGAGCCGCGCGGCCCGCAGGCUGGGCUGGGAGGUGCGAGGCCGGGUUAUGAGCUGUGGGAGGUGGCUGUGUGUAUCCUCUGCCCGCUCCUUGCCCCGCCAGCGGGAGGCGAGGCUCUGUGGGUGCCCUCUACCCUUGUGGCUUUACGUGCGGCUCCCGAUGUUCUCACACUGCAGUGCCUGUUGGGAGCAGUGGCCCCGCGUUUCACCACGCAGUGCCUGGGUAGCUUCAUGUGCCUUCAGGUGCUGCCUUGGCUCUUCAAAAGCUGCUUGUUGGAAGGGAGAAAUCCAGUUGCAGAGGGGUUUAACGGCUGCAAAAGGUGGUGCUUGUCUUACAGGAGGGUUUCUGACCUUACGAAGUGAGGUAGCCGGGCUCCUAUCCUUACAGGAAUGCUUUGGCAAGGACAGAACAUAGAAAUUUCAGCCUUCCCUCCCCCCCCCCCCCCCCAUCAAUAAUUUUAUGCUUUUUGCCCAAUCCCUGUCUCCUUUAUCUCUGUAUGCCAACAACUCCUUCUUUAAAUUGUUUGAAAUUGGGUUUGUAAAUUGAGCUGUGAGUAGUUUAAAUAUGUGGAUCGCAUCUGUGUAAAUCUGUUGUUGCUGUGUAUGGUGGGGCUAUGGGGAUCUCCUCUCAUGGGAUGCAGCCUUUCUGCUUAAGCGCUCAGGACCAGCCUGGAGCAUAAGGGCACAAAGAUAAGUGAUAGGACAAGGGGAAACAGUUUUAAAAUAAAAGGGAGGAGAUUUAGAUUAGAGAUUAGGGGAAAAUUCUUUACUCAGAGGGCAGAGAUGUGCUGGCACAGCUGCCCAAAGAAGCUGUGGUGCCCCAUUCCUGGAGGCGCUCAAGGCCAGGUUGGAUGGGGUACUGGGCAGCCUGCGCUGGUGGGGGGCAGCCCUGCCCAUGGCAGGGAGGUGGAACUGGAUGGGUUUUAAGGUCCCUUACAACCCAAGCCAUUCUCUGAAAGGCAGGCAUGAACCUGGCAAAGGAGAGCCCUGCUCAGGUCCUUGAGGGCUGUGCUGUCAGAGCUUCAGCCCCAGAUGCAGGUGUGAAACUCGUCCCUAUGAAGGAACAGCAGGGGAGACUAAAGGGAAGGUGCCUGGGGCUAUGGAACAUGGUUUGAUAUGGGGGAAGGGCAUUUCAGAAUGGUACAAGAUGGUUUAUCCUUACAGGAGGAAUCAACAGUGAGGAAAGGGAUGGUUGUAACUAAAUUUGGGAGGAACAAGUAAAUCUUCAUAAUAAAUUUUGCUGUGAAGGGCAGUGUUUUGUGUGGAUGGGAGUGUGAGUGCAAGAAAUGGAGCACUAAUGAUGACUGGGCAGGUUACCCAGGCGGUAGAUGAAGCCAGAGGUUUCUGUAAGGAUGAGCCAGUUCUGCCUGGAGCAUUGGUGGGAAGGGGAUUGAAUUCUGACAGCAGCUACCACAAGGCUGUGACCUUGUGGGCACAUAUGUGUACGUGGCAGUAGCCGGGGAGUCUGGGAUGGACGUGGAAGUGCAGAUGAAGCACAAGUGUGUAACUGAAUUCCUCCAUGUGAAAAAAAUGGCGCCCACUGACAUUCAUCAAUGCUUGCUGAAUAUUGAUGGAGACCCAACCCAUGAAUUGUGGGUGUAAGCACAGUGAGCCGUGGGUGGUGCAUUUCAACAGUGGUAACAGUGGGUCACCUUUGCUUGUGCAAAUUGUUGUGAGCAUGGCAUGCAGGCUUUUGUUCAUUGCUGGCAAAAAUGCAUAGGUGAUGGUGGCGACAAAGAAUGUUUUAUAGCUGAGAAUUUGCUCAAUCAAAUAGUGUUAUUGUAGACUUCAUACCUGUUGUGGUUUCCAUGGAAAUAAAUGGGAGGCAUUACUUUUGGAGUGACCUAUAUGUGUAUCAGACAGCUAAUCUGUGAGAAAGCAUGUGUAAGAAUUACAUAUGUAUAAAAGGAAUGUUUAUAGACUUUGUCUUAUUUCUUCAUAAGCGUUUGGAGAGAACCUGAAGGAUUAGUCAGAAAGCUCUUCUCUCUGUGACACUGAUAGCAAUGUGGAAGACAAGCAUCUACAAGCUCCGUCUUGAAUGACAUCAGUGUGGUACAUCCAGUUUCUUAUGCAACUGAUUCUUCAUCAGAACAUGUCAGUGUUUGCUGCUGCUUCUUUUCACUUAAACUGCAGGUCUGGAAGUGCACUGAUUAAGCUAAGAACUUCAUUAUCUCCAAAAAACUUGAUGCGAGGGUAGAAUGCAUAAGUAACAAGGAGCCCAUCUGUUUCCAAAAUAGUUUUUUAUUUUCUCUAUAUUUUUUUCUGCAGAAACUUUUUUUUUUUUUUUUUAAUGAUAGGGCAAGAAUUUGCCUGGGAAGUAGUCCCUGAAGGUAAUGAUUUUGGAAUAAGUAGAUCUUGGAAGGCCACAGAGGCUGAAUGGGGCACAGAAACACAGACCAAGAAGCAAAGGAACCAGAGACAAAGAUAGGGGAUACUGCUGUGGAAAGGAAGUAGUCAGGGCAAAGAUAAAGAAAUGUGGAGAUGAAAGGUAAACAUUGAAAAAGUUUGUACAGAUAUCUGAUUUCUGUACUCUUGUGGGGCAGUGGUAUUUAGAAGAGCUUACAAGAGAGAUAUUUGAGAAAGGGGUAGGAGGAGUCCAGUCUUUAGGAAGUUGAAGCUAUAUUAAAAGGAAUUAUCCAGUACGCUAGAGGCCAUAAAACUUCAGUUUUGAAUUACACCAUACUGUUUCAGAAAGUUUUGUCUUGAUAUAAAGUGAUAGACAUUCCUCUAUAUUUCUACAAAUAGCGUUUCAGUGGCUUACUGAUCAGGUAGAAGGAAGGAUAGAUUUGAAAAGAAAACUCAAGGAAGUGGAAGUAGUCGGGAUGUUGUUAGAGGGAAAGGAGACAGCUAAUAAUGCAUUUGAGUCCAGGAGUGAGAAAACCUGAUCUACAAAGCAUUGAUUUUUCUUGGAUCUGUUUCCACAAGAUCUUUCCUGGAAUUAAUUUGUUGGCCAUAUUUUCUGUCACUUAGAUUUUGAUUUGAUUGUAUCCAGUAACCCUUAAAUUUAUCUUUUUUUAUCUGUUUGUGAAAGAACUCUUUUCAGGUUUGAAACUUGGUAUUUCAUAUUAUUGGGUAUUUCAGAUGAUGAGCAAGAUUCAGAACCAGGUCUGAUUACACACUUGUCUUCGUAGAUCCCAGAACUUAUUUUGUGCUUUGAGUUUACAAAGUAACAGGAAUUACACCCUAAACUUGCAUGAUCAGGAUUUGUUUGAUGGUUCAGCUGCCUUGGCAAAGUGAAAUGCACAGAAACAGAUCAUAGGAUUAGGAUAUUGUGGUUUGGCAUCAGUACUUAUAGGGUAUGGUCUAUAUUUCAUUCACUUUGCUUUGGAUCUACCUUUAAAUUAUCUGCCAGAACCAAUAAAACGGUGGAAGCUUGAAGCCCGAGAAAAGAUUCUAGAUGAUCCUUUUUUGAGGAAGUGAUGUUCUUACAUGGUAAUAAAACCAUUUGUUUUCAUUACUUUCAAGUGAAGAAUUUAUAUAGGGAAUGUCCAUCUGCUGCCCACUAAGCUUUUAAAGAACACCUAAAGGAGGUACUUUUAAAAGGAUGACAUUCAAGGAUGAACACUAAAUACAAGUAAUAACACCAUAGUCCCGUGCCAGCCUUUUAAAUAUAUUAAUGAACUCGAUCACUCAGGAACUGAUAUACUCCUACAGAUUUUGAAUGUCAUUUACUCAUGGAAGUGCUUUCAUCUGAUGAUUUCUUUUUCUGGCACUGGGGGCUUAUAAUAGAUCUAAGCCACCUGCCCCAGAUUCACUGUGACUGGUUAACAAAGUGGCCAAGCAACGGAUUUAGUCAUGUUACUUGCUUAGUUUUCUCAGUGUGAAUAUCCACAGGAAACUCAUUGAGUGAUUGAUUUUAUGCAGACAUCGUGUUUAUUUGAGAAAAAUAAAAGAGAAAUAGCCUUGCACUAAAUAUUGUAAAACCAUUACUAUAAAACAAGGCUUCUCUUAAUUGUUUAGUUGCCAUUGCCAAGGAGGCCGGUUUUUGUGUUUCAUUAAGUACCUUGCUGAGAUAUGCUAUUUCCAUGGGCUUUGUUAUUCUUCUCUUGGGACUGAGGGAGCAGUUCCUGCCUCUUCUCUGAGCCCACAGUGAAUAUAAAGGGAGCUGUAGAAGCAGUUGUCUCCUGACAGGAAUGGUUUAUGAUUUGCAACUGUAUCGUGAAAUAGCAGUAGUGAGGAGUAGUUGUGUACUAGCUGGAUAAAGUUCUGAUUUAAAAAAUAAAAUAAUAAUAAUAAUUAAAAAAAAGCAGAGUAAGAAUGAAUGAAAGCUACCUACUCAUAAUGUUUUCACUAACAUUGCUGUUUUGCAUAUCCUUUAUUUCAUUUUGGGAAAAAAAAUCAGAAAGCUUUCUUUGCUGUACCUUCUAUAGGAUAAAUUUGCUUUGAUGUUCAUAGCGGUUUUCUGAUUUUCCAACUCUGGGGAAGUUUAAAUGGCAAUGCAAAUACUUGAGUGGGAAAGAUUGUGUUUAACUAUUUAGCUGUUUUGUUAUCCCGACCUUGAGCCUAUGUUGGAGGAUAUGAAUUAAUUUCCUCUGUUUUCUCUCUUUCAGGAGUCUAUCCAGAUAAUACAUUGUGAAGCCAUUAUCCAUUCAUAAGGAGGUAAUUAAAAGUAAAUGUCUUCAGUCAGUGGAGCUGGAUAACUUGCAUUUCAGAAAUUAAGAGAAGUGCUGAAGAAUUGUUAUGACCAAUAAUGCUGGGCACUAGAAAAGUUUCAGGGGGAUGUUGUCAAGCUGGUAGUUAAAAACACAAUGGGGACAAGCUGGGUGGACAACUGGUCAGUCUGUCUUUAAUCCAGAAAUCAGAACACCUAAUACAUUCUUCUGUCAGCAAAUAAAGAAUUAAAGGAGAGAAAUGUAAUUAAUGCAAUUCAAAUAGCAUAAUGGAAAUCAGUGCUAAGCUUGCAGCCAGCUCUUGGCUGCCCUUUUCCCCAGGAGCUGCCUGGUUAGGGGGAUGGUCAGGCUGAGAGAAAGUUCCAGCUCCAAGAGGUGACAGAACUAACAGCAUAGCAGUUGGGAGAUCAAACUUAUAAAACUAAGUAAGUGUAACACUGCUAAUUGGGGAUGCGUGACAUACCCAUGAUCCAGAAAGUACCUGAUUAUUGGAAGCGACAUUUAAGCACCUAAAAACCCCCGUGUUCACGUGAAAGCUUCAAAACACCUGUGUGGGUGGCUGUCCAGUCCUGAAAAUGCUGUUACCUUUUUAACUGAUGAUGCUAACACUGCCCCGGUGCAGGCGUGCAUUGUGUUGAUAUCUCUGGGUCUGAAUGGUUGUCAUCCAUCUUCUGUGCAACGGGCUCUUGGAAAGGGCUGGUCUUGGAGAUUCGAUAAUGGGAGUGUUCCUCAUUGCCAAGAUGCACUCUCACAGUCUGAAUUUGAAACUGGUACUAAAACAGCAGUUAUGGCUAUUGCUUCCCUUUACUGGAAUAGCACAGUGGUCAGAAGCGUGUGUGGGUAGUGGGAAUCCAGCCCCACACACUGCAGGGAUGGGGAAAGCAGCCUCGCACCACCCCAGCACUCCUCCUGUGCUGCCUCCCCAAUAUACAGUGCUGCUGUGGGUGCAGCGAGGAGCCAAGUGCCAGGAAAAGGCAAAUUGAGAAGAUGGAUGGCUGUAAUCUAGUGACCAGACCAUUGGGGAAGUACUUUGCUUCCCAGAUGUGUAAGUGUUACAAAGAGCAGCAGAUGAAAGCACCAGUAGUACUCCCAAGAGCAGAUGCUAACAUCACUACUUGAAAAGAAUUCUUACAUUUGUCUCUUUUCUGAAAUAAGACUGGUGUGGUGGAUGUGGAAAUGAAGACAUUCUUCAUGUUUGCUAGUUCAAGGAGAAUCCCAUUUGAUUCAGUAUCUGCACUGAAUUGCCAAGCCUCUGUAAAUACCACAGGUAAAGCCUGGAGGUAACUUUGUUGCGGGGAUACAAAUGUGUGUAUUUGAAUUGCACCCUGCAGAGAGAGUCCCAGUGUUUUUGCUGCAGUGUCUGUGUUACAACACCCAUGUCCUUUUUAUCUUCCAAACAAAAAACAACCCUUUCACACUCUUUAGUCUUCCCACACACAUUCUCUGGACAGCAUGAUAGCAGUUUGGCUCUGCUGAGCCAAACACUGCAACCUGAGAAGAGCUUGUGUAUGCAGUGAUAGUGCUUAUAGUAUCUGGUUUGUAUUAUCACUGGAUGGGUUUGACUGUGGUAUGCUAUGUACACAUAACCAAUGGUACAUGCCAAAGCCUGGAUUUUGGAAAGACAAAAGUCACUGACUUCACAUACAUAAAAAAAAAAAAAAAAAAAAAAAAAAAGGGUAUAUCUUAUGAAGUCUAAUGUUUAAUUUUCUUCUCACUGAGCACAAAAAAAACCAGACAAGUGUGCAGCAAGCAGAUAAGAAACAGACUGUGUCUGCCUCUGUGGGCUAACUUCUUCCUACAGUUCUUGCUUAUCUGUAUUUCUGGAUUGGAAGAGGUGCAUAAUACAUCAGCUGAUGAUCUGCGUAACCAUUUAAUACUUGACCAUCUGGUUAAAGCAAGUGUUACGUAAACUGAUUCCCACUUGGAGACUACUCUAGUACCACACCCAUGGGGAAAUCUUCAUAUCUUUGCAAGGCAUGAUUUCAGAUAGCUCAGCUGCAUUCCCCAAGGCUGAUUUUUUCCACACUAAGGCACUAGAACUCUGUCUUUCAGCUUUUCUUUCCACAUGCAUUUUUUUAAGAACUCAUGUACGGGGUUGAAAAGCUACUGACAGAAUGACAGAUGAAACAAAAGCUGCUUCCCUUCCCCCUCACCUGCAGGCAUGCAAGUUUAGAACAUUUAGAGCACCUAGCUUCCAGGCCCAGACUUCUUGAUCUCCCAGGAACCAAACUGACUUAAGUUUAAGGGAAAACAAAGAUUAAAUAGUUUGCAGUGUUUAAUGCCCCGAGUCUUACUUUUGGAAAUACCAUACUUCUUGUUGAGUAGAUUAGAGUUCACAUUUCACGACAAGCAAAGGGAAGGUGUGAUUUAAUUGCAGUCACGUUUAUUUGCAGUUUCUAUACACACUUUCUAGGUAAUCAAACUUUUCCGACACAUUUUUGAGAGGGGUUCACAAUGAAACUGUCACCGUUUUUACUAAAAAUAAAUACAAGACUUAAAGUGUUGCACAGCUCUAAAAUAUACAAAGGCUUGGAUUUAAUGUAAACUUUGAAAACAUUUUACAAAAGAAACCAUCUUUGCAACAAUUUAAAAAGUUCAUAUUUACAAAUAUUACAAAAAUACAAAAUGGAUGCAAGUCCAUAAACCAUUGUCUUUUCUGCCAGCAUGAACUGGUGCUAGUACCAAAAUAGUUACACUGUAACCUUCUUAAUUUUUUUUUAAAUUCUUUAAGUCAUAACCUACAGUAUUUCUCUAUAUCUGCCACCACUGCAGCAAAUGCACUCAAUCACUGACCUUUGGCAAAAGCACAUAUAUGCUUUAUUUGCUACAACUAUUCCAUCUCCUCUAUGCUGCCACAAGAAAAAAAAAAAAAAGAAAAAGAAGAAAAAGGGGGAAAUGUUAUUUUUCAGAACAUACAACUGUGUAAUUUCUUUAACAUCAGUGCAAACAACAGAACAUAGGUUGAAAUGAUGGUUCACUGGUUGCCUAAUGCAUGUGCUGUACCCUGUUUCAAGAUAUACAAUGUUCCCCUCGACAGCUUGUCCUCUGACCAUUCUGUAUGUGAAGUACUGCCUCACAAUUGGUUUUUAGUGUUUAGAUAUUGAUAAAUGGCAUCUGAAAUUGUUGAUUGGUAAUAAAAAGUGUAUCACCAAUGUCAAUUCAGCUGUAUUCUCUUUACAGUUUUGAACAAUUUUUUAAACGUAUGUAAUGCCUUUUAGGACAAACGUUUAUAAAAGUGCUCUGGGUAAAACUUCUAUGGAAAAUGACUCAAGAUGACAAACCAAGGAUCUCCUCCUAAUAUCUAAGCUUCCUCGUGUCUUCCAGGAUGUGUUUUGUUAUACACUAAGCAAUUCCAUAGAACGUUCACUCAUUUACUUGUGUUUCGGCUCCUUUUCUUAACUAAGCUGCUAAUAAGACUAGCCAUUUACUUCCAAAACCUUGCUCCACCUGCUCUUAUUAAAACUGUUUCAGACUUCCCAAUUUUGAAGCCCUUUAGCUGAGGUACUACCCCUCUUCUCAACACACAUACCACAUGCACAGUGAUUCCACCUCACAUACUGCAUACAAGCAGACGACACAGGAAGACGGUAGGAUACCCUGAAUUACAUAUUUUGUAGUGUAUGCUAGACAAAAUGAGACAUAAACCUUAUUGGAAAUACCUUUGAGGAUUUGUUAAACCCCUCUGACUUGCACAAACUUUUAAAAUCAUAAGAACCUUCCUCUUCAAAACACGAUCUGCCUGCUUUUAAAACCCUUCGGCUUUAUGCAUUACAUGAUUAAAAGCAAAAAGAAAAAAAAAAAAAAAAAAGGAAAAACCCAUUUCAAACAUCCCACUUCCCUAUCAUUUACUUAUGCUUAAAGCCAGCUUUGAGUUGAUUUCUUUUGGAUCUAAGUACGCUCUUUCUGCUGUCCUGUUCAAUCUGUCCUACUGCGUACCACCUUUCUUCUUGCACUAUUUCUCUGCACUAACAUCCAUUCUAUUCCUCUACUCCAAAGGAUAUCCUACAACAAUCGACACCAACUGCACAAAUUUUGGACAAAGAGGGCCUUGUUCUCUGAGCAGCAUGGUUGGGCUAUGCUGUGAAAACAGUGGUGUCCCAAAGGAGAAUCAGACCAACAACUGGUUUUAUUUCAUUUAAAAAUUAAAAGUAUAAAACAACGUGUGGGCUGAGCUUAAAAGUACACAUCCUUUCAGUUUUAAGACAAGAAAAUUCAAGUAACUUCAAGUAAUUAAGCUUUUAUUUCCCUGCCUUCGUUUGUAUCAAAGCAGUUGCUUUGAUUUGUCUCUUCUCCCAGCCCAUCCCAAUCCCCCACCCUGCUGCAUGCUUCUGGUGAACCCAGACGAAACCCAAACGUCUGUGGCUGGCACAAGAAACCAGAGCUUUCCCCUUCGUAGUUUCGCAGUGAAUAUAAAUAAUGCAUACACAUACCUAUUUCCCAGCUACAUUUUCACAGUGUCAUUUUGGUAAAUAUUUAGGUAGCAUGAAUCUCAUCAGCACAAAGAGAAAGCUUCACUGAAAACUCAUCGCAGAUAUUUACUGAUAAAUUGAAAGCGCUUGUUGCAUGCUUAUCAUUUAUUUGUUUCCCUUAAGAACCAGAAACUAAUCAUGUUUAAAGUUUAUCAUUACCAGGUUAUGACUGUGUUAUGUAUCCCAAUAGCCUAAUAGGAAUAUGAAACUAAGUACUAUUUCCUCGUGUCUAUUCUUGCUAAAUCAAUCCCUGUUAGCACGAAGACCCGGGGGCACCAUCAGAUGGGACCGUCUGGGGCUUUGUGUUAGGAAUGACUUUGUUCUGUCAGAAGCACACCUGUAUUCCCAACCGAUGGUCGCGCUAAAACUCACAGCUGCACUUCUCAGUUAGCUUGUUGGGGCUAUGCUAGAAAGACAAAUGGUUACUUCAAUCCGAUCUUGGUCAGCUGGUAAUUCGUAGCUGAAGUGGAGAAUUCCUUUUGACUGCUAAAUGUCUUCUUUGAGGCUUAUGGCACCGAAAGUGGUUAUUGGUGGCCACGCGAACUUAUGUUUGAUAUGAAAAUGGUAUUCACAGAAUACAGUUAUUACAUUUGACUCCUUUUGUCUUCUAUAAACAAAGCUGUUAUGCAGGAAAUUGUUUGCCACGUGUCCACUCUUUGAUAGUUCUAUUUACAAAUUGUUAUCAAAAAUAUGGUAUUUACAUAUGUUCUGUUAAUUUCUUCUAAAUUUUGUUUCAGCUCAUUUUAGUGUAGAAAAAUACCAAUCCUCAAGAGCAUUUGCUUUUUUAUUUUUCUUCCUAGGGAAGCACUACAGUGAGGGAUUUGUUUUUAGAUGGGCAGCUUCUGGAAAAAAAAAAAAAAAAACCAACAACACAAAAAGCCACUUUGAACUCUAUGAAAAGUGUAUAGCUGUGAAAUAUACAGUGACAACAGAAAUGAGUGGGAUAAACCAAAUGAAGCUAAAGGAAAACAGAAUAGACAUAGCCUAUCUUUCUACUUUUAGAAAAUGUAAGGUCAUAAAUAGCUACAGCCAUAGUCCUCUGUUUCCCCAGCGUCCUACAAACACAAACACAUAUAAGCAUUGAUAUUGCCCUGCAAUUAUUGUUUUGACUGCUACAGCAUUGGCCUCUUCUAUUCACAUCCUCGCUCAGCUCACAUGGUGUCGGCAGUCCCUGGAGCCUACGUUGAGCUCUGAGAAGAGCGGUCAUCGUGUGGGCUGCCAUCUGAGUUCUCGGUCUCCCCCUCUGAGAUGGCCUGCAUCGGCGUGUUGUACAGCCGGCAGCGCACGCUGUACCUGCUGCUGCUGGCAGCCGGUGGUGCCCGUGAGCGCCCCACUCGUGAAGAUGCUGACAUGGGAAAGCUCUUGGAGGAGAAACCUUCUGCGUUGACCCUCGGUGAGCAGGGAGACAGCGGGGAUGAUGCAUCGGGGCUUGUCACCGGGGGACACUCGUCCUGGCUUUGGGAAGCAUCUGCUGUCAGCUCUCCAGGAGACUUGGGCAGAAUAGGGCUUUUCAGGAUUUCCGUGGCAGACAUCCUGUAGCUAGAAUCAGACCGACUGCCUUUUUUAAGGAGCAGUAGUUUAAACUCCUCGUUAGAUGUGUUAGACUUUUUGGCAUUCCUGUAUAUCAGCCCGGGGGAUCUCUGACUGUUCAUGGGAGCACCUGUGCUGCUGGCGGAUGAUGUGCUGCUGGCAGGCAGCGUGCUGCUGGUGGGCAGUUGGCUGCUAGUUCCAGAGGAAGCUCUCAGUCUGUUCCUUACAGACAGAUCUCCGGAGUCCUUUCUCCCAAGAACUUUCCUUUUUGAUCUGUAAAAAUACAAAGAAACACUUUCAUAUGCUAUCUUUGUAGAACAAUGUUUCCCACUAGUCUGAAGUUACAUGGAUUCACCGUGCUUUCAAACGAACACAGUCUCUCUUAAUCCCUCUGCCAAAUAUCAGAGGCUGUCAGUGACUGACAGCACUUAAAGGCAUAAUAGCUCUUGUGCAAGGAAUGAGGCACUGUGGCACAGUCUCUCUAAAUCUUACCUGGCUCUUUUAAAACAAUUUAUGCAUAACCAGCUCUUUAUAAAGACAGCUAUGCCUACAGAGUCCCAGGUUAGCCAAAUAAUCAUUAGAAUCUGUUCAUUAUUAGAAAUCUUUAAUUUCAGCUGUGAUCGCAAAUUUCAACUGAAUGCAAAAUACUCUAAAUUUGAAGAGAUGCCUCCUCUUCAUUCUUGGUAUGGCAACUCAUUUGUAAGAAUAGAGCUGGUGGGCAGCAUGCAGAAACCAAUGUGGGGAGUUUUCUGUGGAGACGUGUUUGUUAGGGUACCCUGAUCUUACUUGUAAAGCAUCCCACACAUGCCAUAACGAUACUCAUAAUGCACACAUGUGACGAGCACCGGCUAUUCUUGACCCCUGCUAAAUAUGGUUAGCACCACAAACAUCAUUUUAUAAGGCAAGCAGACAUAAUAUGUAAACAGCCAAGAUGUAUCACCCUUACUACUUUAUCAUUCCCCCUUUUCGGCACUGUGAAAUGAACAUUUGCCCAGCAGACUCAUCAGUGCCCAGGCACUGGGUUGCCAGAAUGUGACGACAUGUUACAGAACAUGGAAGCAUAAUGGCACAUGAAAUAUUGCAUAUAAAAUCAAGCAGCAGCAAGCUCUAAAUGGGACUCAGUCCAGAAACACAACUGGAUGGCAAAGCCUGGGUGGCGAGGGACACCUCCACCAUCAUCUGCUUUCUCCAAGGGCCUGAGUGACUGAUCUUCUGAGUGACGUCUGAGUCUAGAUUAUGAUUAUUGUACCAUGUGUCAAUUAUUACAAAUUUGACCCAAUCUGAGGAGGGUUAACUCAUCCCCAUACUUGCAAGGCCAGGCACCAGUGAGACUUCAUGACAUCUAGCAUCAGUGCUGAGUGGGAUAUUUCUGCAUGCCUUGGUCAUACCACCACAAUAGCUAUGACUGGGGUCAAGACAGGCCUUAACCAUCAGAUCAUUAUUCUGCAGUGGAUGAGCAUGCAGCUGGGGAAAGGAUGGCUGGCUUUUAUGGUUCAUAGUAGCAAGAAGGUUAGCUCACCUGUGAAUGACUGCAAACAGGUCCUCAGUAGUGCGAGGUUUGUUGGGAGACACAAAAACGUCCUCAGCUUCAGCCUGAGAGUCUUCACUCAGUGGGGACAUGAUGGAGUCGUCGCUUGGUGAAGACUCUGAGAUAAGUACAGAAACCAUGGUUAGAGUCAGACCACUGCUGUAUUCUGAAAGAGCACUGCUAGUGCAAAGCAUAAGCUCAAUGUGUAAGCAAGUGGCCAAUGCUGGCCAUACAGACUUCAUCCUCUAAUCUCUGAGUGGUUGCUGUGCUGUCAUCCCAGGAGGGCUAACUGAGGCCUGUCACGUUGUGCAACGCCUCCAGGUCCCCAGUCGUUCAUCCUGAUGUCAGUGACACCCCCCACCGCAGAAUGAACUGCAACACAGAAAAGAGGACCCAACUGACCUUUCAGAGAUGGUUCUUCUGUUCCACCCGCUGUCUCGUCUGCCCUGCUGGUACCAGAGGCACUUCUGGUAGGAAUACCUGAUGUGACGUUCUCCUGCUUGCAACUGGCUUCACUGAGCAAGUUUACUGCUGCCGUCUCUGAUUCGUAGCUGAUAUUCCCAGGCACGUGGUGGCUUAAAUCGAGUUGGUGCUUAAGCUGAUCACUGACAUCUGCUCCCUCUGCCUGGGCGGGGCUGUCACCCGCCAUGCCGAGCUCCAGCUGCUGCUCACUGCCACAGAGCUCAGGCUGGGCCUGUGCAUGCUCGAGGCGGCUCUCCGGUUCUGCUCCCCUGUUUUCAUUCUCUGCUUCAUGAUCACCUGUGAGGAGAGCUGAGCCUUUCUGAAAUCCUUCUGUAGAAACUGCACAAGUCUGAUUUAGAGCACUGUCUGGCAAAUGCUCAGUGGCUGGGCUUAUUUGGUCCUUCACAGUUUUCAUUUCAACCAGAGCCACACCUGCUGAAGGUACAAUUUCCUGCUCACAAUUACUCUGUCCACUGAAGGAGGAGCUUUUUUCUAAAGAUGGCUUCCCAGGACCUGUUUCUGCUGGGGAAGAGUCGAUAUACGACAUGAUGGCCUCCUCAGUGGAGUACUGCCGUGAUACUGGCUUCUUGGCUAGGAGUGGCCUCAUUUUCCCUGGCGAAACAUCACCAGCCAGCAGUGUGGGCUCUUGGAUGCAAAGCAAGUCGGGGAUACUGCCCUUCUGCUUCAUUUCUUCAGGCCUGUUGAUGGCCCUGAGGUGCACAGACUUGAGGACGGAGGGGGUGAUGGCAAGGGCAGAGGGAUGGCUGGGGCUGAGGGCUUCUCCCACUGCGCUGUGCUUGCUGGGAUUGAAGGCGUGCAGCUGGUGCCGGUGAGCAAACGGUUUAUUCAAGACGCUGUGAAGAGCACUUAGGUCAAGAUGGGUCGGAGGUAUAAUUGGGAGUUCGAGGUCUUUGCUUGCAGACAUGGUGCCAUCUUUAGUGAGCGGCUGUUGGAGUGAGGACUUCCUUUCGGGUACUUUUGGCUUCCUCUUGCUGCCUCCUGGGGACAGUGGUCCAGAGAAGAAAGCGGUCGGGAAGGAAGAGGUCGGCGUCUCCGACUGGCUGGAGUACCCGCUGGACGGCGAGGCCAGCCCCGCCAGUUUCUCUGGGGAUGCCAGUUUAAACUCGCUGUCAACGGAAGGCAGGGAUGGGGUGGUGGCCCGCGAACCGGACUGGGAUGUCUGGGACUCCGAGCUUUCUGGUGACUUGAUGCACUCUAUGACUGUGGUACCCGUAGCAGUGCUCGAAUUAGAUAAAGACCUGUAAGGAUCACCAGAUUUCAAGUCAUUCAGGAGCCAGAGGUCUGCAUAGUGAGGUUGUUCAGCACCGUCAUCUUUGAAGGAUGGCAUGUCAGCCAUAUCGAACUGAGUGUCCUUCAUGCCGCCAUCGCUCUGGCUCACCCAGGGCAGCUCGGGUUUGGGUGGAAGGCUAGAGGCCUCUGCUCUGGAAGGUGUGUUGGAAAACUCAAGUGGCAGCUUCAUUUCCCUGGCAGUGUGCGACGUGUGCUGCCCACUGCUAAUCUUUGGUUCUUUCUUCUCGGGAAGAUCCAUGCUGCCCUCAGAUUUCCUCAAAGAUGAGCUGCGUUUUGGUGGAGCUGGCUUUGCCUUUGGUUUCUUCAGAGAGAUGCCCUGCCGUCCCUGCCUCCUGUGACUGAUGCAUUCCUGCCAGGUGCAGUCGGCCAGGCUGGAGGUCAUGCUUGCCAUCUGGCCGCUCUCAGAGCCUGCAGCUGCAUAGUUGCAAAUAUAGCUCUUGUUGCCCUUGAGACCGCAGUCAAAGUGCAUGGAGGUAUAGUAUCCUUCAGUAUCCACAGAGAAGUGUGAGCUAGUGUCUGCCUUGUCAGAGGGGCUCUUCUCUAGGAAGCUGUCAUAUGUGCCCAUGCUUGUGAAGCUCGGGCAUCCCAGGCUGUCAGCCUUGGUGCGCUCGGGGCUGAAGUCCUGGCGACAGGAUGCAUCAUGGUGGUGAUGCAGAUAGUUCCACUCACUGUCACUAGUGUUGCUGUUGUUGGGGUCAUCGAGUAGAUCUGCCACAGUGGAGGUGAAGGAGCUCGCCCUGUGGCCUCUGACCUUGUCCACGUGGUCACCGUACUGUUCUGUGAUGAAGACACUUGAGUCCUCGUUGGCGUUGGGAGCGGUGUUGAGGGACAGCUCAGAGUCACAGUGCGAGGAGCCAGUCAGCGGUGGAGAGGCGGCAGGAGGAAUGGUUUCGGAUGUCUGAGAGGGACACGUGGAGCUGCUCCCACUCCAGUUGCCGCUGGAGGACUGGUGAUCGUCCUUCUGAUCCAUGUGGCUGCUAAGCAGGACUCCUGCUGUGGAGAUGGAGUGAAUGGGGCUCCCAAAAGUGUCUGAGUUGGAUGAAAUCUCGCAGCUUCCUGAAUCUGCCAUCCUUGACAGUCGCGACCUCCCUCUCUCACCGAUGCUGUGUUCAGGGCUGUGCAGAUGUUGAGGACAAGUUAAACCCAGGGGCUGAUGCUCCUGUGAACCCUGUUUGCUCAGGACCUCCUUCCCUUUUUUCGGGUGCCUCUCCUGGCUGGCUAGGAAGCACUCCGCUUCAUACGCUGAACUCUUGGUGGUAGCAGCUGUGUCACCCUCACUGGCUCUUGCUCCCUCACGAGGGAGGCUCCGCGAGCGGAUGCGGUUGCUGACAGCAGCAGCGAAGACGGCAUCCCCGUUGUCCGCCAGCACCAAAAUGUUGCCAGCAGAGUGUGAGAGGGAGGCAACCACACUCUGCCCCCUCUGUGCGCGGAUGCGGCGCCGGGAGGGAGCGGCGAUAAGGAUUUCUUCUGUCUGGCACUCCGAGUCCCUGGUCCCUGACCGUCGGCUGCUGGCACUGGAGAAGUCCGGGUUGGCAUGCACAAUCACAUUGCGCUCCCUUGCCACAGGCGACUCAUCCGAAUCUAGGGUACACGUAAAGCUGGGUGAGAGACCGUUUCGUACGUCCUGACAUGAGACGACCCACAAAGCAACCCAAGAAGCAUAUCUGCAUUUAAUCUUGCUGAGUGUUGUACCAAACCUAACUCAGCUAUAACAUGUAUAUACGGCAGACCUCAUCCCAAUGAGGUGGGAAAUUCUCCCAGUCCUGCAAUGUGAUAUCAGUUCUCCUAUUUCUGCAAUGUGAUCUCACGUAGAGCUGAUCUUGCUGUGGUAAAUAUUAAGAUGAAUAUUAACUUUCUGUUUUUUGUCACUGUAGUGCAAGUAGCUGCAGGCAGUUUUCAGGAUUAGCUGCCUGACAAAAUGCUCUAUAAACUUCUAAAAAUAAUUCUGUUUUAACUACAUAUCUUUUCAGAAUUUCCAUUAUCCGCUUCUUUCCUACCAAGAAUAUUUGCACAGUAACAGGAUCUUUGUUUCAUAGGUUCUCUGGUUGCUUGUUCCCUAUGAUAAACACAUUCUUUAUGCUUCCGAUUAAAUUUCACAGCAACCGACUGAAGUAUCAGAGCCACCUUCAGGUGCAGAUGAACAUUAAGUAAUA
This 16417-nucleotide long non-coding RNA is filed under the name Gallus gallus (chicken). Lineage: Eukaryota; Metazoa; Chordata; Aves; Galliformes; Phasianidae. The record is from RNAcentral.